Molecule: long non-coding RNA, 226 nt
Filed under: Jatropha curcas
Lineage: Eukaryota; Viridiplantae; Streptophyta; Magnoliopsida; Malpighiales; Euphorbiaceae
Description: long non-coding RNA (JCUR_LNC000005)
Source: RNAcentral
UAUAAGGGAGAAAUAAGAAAGACGAUGGAUGCUAAAUCGUGUGAAUGCCCUACUUAGAUCUCACUUUCUCUAUGUUGGGGUCUUAUGCUCUGAAGGGGCGAAAGUGAUCCCAUUCGUCCACUCUCCGCCGGGAAUCCGAGUUCUCUUCUAUUGGCUCUGUUUCACAUACUUACACGAAAGCACUCUAGUUUCGUCCUCGGUAGAGCAUUACCUUGUCUUUAUAGAC